UAAAGUCUUAUAAAUUCGUCGGCUAAAACUUUGAAAUUCGUCGGCUAAAGUCUUAAAUUUCGUCGGCUAAAACUUUGAAAUUCGUCGGCUAAACCUUUGAAAUUCGUCGGCUAAAAGUAUUUGUAUACAUUUGGCAUGUUGUGAUUGUGAUGAUCAAACUUGAGAAACAGAAAUCCGACCGUCAGAUCUGACCAUCAUGAUAAAAUACAUGUGUGGGAAAAAAUUCAACUUGAUCCGAAAAGAAUAAGGGCUCGAUCCGGACGGUCAAUCUCGUAAGUCAAACCCCUAAACGCACGGAAAAGGUCGUUCGACCGUCUAAAUUACGUAUUUUGGCCGGACCUCCAACUGAAAAUAGUUUUAAACCGAUGACACGCAACAAGUCGUAUAAAAAUUUUACGCAAAAUAACCACCGAAUAUAGGGCUACUCAUAGGGGGAAAAAAUGAAAAAUUGCAUUGACCGCAACUAUCGACACCGAAUAUUUACCGGAAUAGUGUGAUUUUUCAACCGUGGAUGUAUUUCAACAUUCUCGUCAUAUCUUAUUUCAUGACUUUUUGCCGUUUGAAGGUUUUACGUAUAGUUUGUUUUUGAAACGGAACAUUUACAUAACACUAGGUAAACAAGUUAUACAACAUUAGUAUGCCUGUUGUGAUUGUGAUGAUCAAACUUGAGAAACAGUCAUCCGACCGUCAGAUCUGACCAUCAUGAUAAAAUACAUCUAUGGGAAAAAAUUCAACUUGAUCCGAAAAGAAUAAGGGCUCGAUCCGGACGGUCAAUCUCGUAAGUCAAACCCCUAAACGCACGGAAAAGGUCGUUCGACCGUCUAAAUUACGUAUUUUGGCCGGACCUCCAACUGAAAAUAGUUUUAAACCGAUGACACGCAACAAGUCGUAUAAAAAUUUUACGCAAAAUAACCACCGAAUAUAGGGCUACUCAUAGAUGGAAAAAAUGAAAAAUUGCAUUGACCGCAACUAUCGGCACCGAAUAUUUACCGGAAUAGUGUGANNNNN
This 1008-nucleotide long non-coding RNA is filed under the name Fragaria vesca (wild strawberry). RNAcentral describes it as "long non-coding RNA (FVES_LNC003474)". The record is from RNAcentral. Lineage: Eukaryota; Viridiplantae; Streptophyta; Magnoliopsida; Rosales; Rosaceae.